AAGUCGUAACAAGGUAUCCGUAGGUGAACCUGCGGAUGGAUCAUUAUGGAAUGGUUGGAUGAUUGUGAGUGGUUUUUUUGAGAUUGAGUGGUGUUGGUUGGGAUGCGAAGCAAGACAGCCAACAUUGCCCACGUUAAACUAUAUAAAUCUAACAUAAAUACACAUAACAAGAAACAACUUUUAGCAACGGAUCUCUUGGCUCUC
This 204-nucleotide unclassified non-coding RNA is filed under the name fungal sp. Its description in RNAcentral is "partial internal transcribed spacer region". The stretch from base 1 to 46 matches the Rfam family "Eukaryotic small subunit ribosomal RNA", at positions 1786 to 1831 of the family's 1831-position model. Lineage: Eukaryota; Fungi. The record is from RNAcentral.